This is a long non-coding RNA of Micropterus dolomieu (smallmouth bass), 921 nucleotides long. RefSeq lists it as uncharacterized. The transcript has 2 exons. Lineage: Eukaryota; Metazoa; Chordata; Actinopteri; Centrarchiformes; Centrarchidae. The record is from RefSeq and is a predicted model, not a curated record.
CAACCACCUUUGUUUCCAGCAGUUCAGCAGCUCCCCUGUGGACACCUUAACAGCUCAUCGCUGGAUGUUGUACAGAGUGCAACGCUGAGAAGAAAUGGUGAGCGAAGAUGAUUACGAAAUUUGAAUACUGCCACAGGAGUUACAGAGUGUGGACAUCAGCCUGCAGUCAUUCUGGUCAAACUGAUGUUCUGCAGAGGAGGAGUGCAACACUUCCUGUUGCGACGUACCCUGUAUCCUGUUUUCCACAGUCAGUGGUCAUGCGUGUCAUUCUCCUCUGCGAGUCUGUGCGGGCACAAUCUUGUGACCCGCUGUGAAUCUUCUGAUACUGAAUCAAGGGAGACUCCGCAUGUCUGAGAAAAACUCUAAAUGUCAGCAAAAAAAUAUGUAUAAUAGCACAAUUAAUGUAUCCAUGUCAGCUGAGAAAUUACUAUGACUUUAGUCUAACUUGCAAAAAGUGAAUGGAGCAGACUACAGUAAAUAACAGACAUAUUCCAUUGUAUAAUCCCUGUGUUUUUAAGUUUUAAGUAAGCUGUAGCAGCACCAGAAACAGAACCAUUUGAUAACCACCGUACUGUGCUUCCUUCAGAAUAUUAGUAGCCUCUUAAAAUAAGUGCAUGCAAAGACAGAUGAUGAGAACACUGACACCUUCACACAGCAGGCCCUAGGAAGGCCGAACAAUGUGACUGAGUAUUAAGAGGCGCCAAUGUAACAGUUUGCAUGCUUGUGUGUGAGUUUUAACCAUCAGAGAUAUGUAUCUUGUGACUACAUUCAGAUGUAAAGCUGUGAAGUACUCAGUUACACCCUGUGGUGGAACCAAACCAGAAUGCAGUACUUGGUCAGAGCUACUGCAGGUCACAAAUAUGUAACUUCACAGUGUGUCACUUACACUUGAAAAUAAAUAUAACAAUUCUGGCAACUUUA